This 219-nucleotide long non-coding RNA is filed under the name Helianthus annuus (common sunflower). RNAcentral describes it as "hypothetical non coding rna". Lineage: Eukaryota; Viridiplantae; Streptophyta; Magnoliopsida; Asterales; Asteraceae. The record is from RNAcentral.
UGUGUGUUCUCGAACGUACAGGGGCUUCAAGAAGCCAAGCCCUAGUUCUUCAAAAAGCUUCAAAUUAAGGGAUGAUUCAAGGCUCAAAUUCGUGAAUUCUCAUGGAUUAAUGAUCACCAUCACAAGGGGAUCAUAAGUUAGAAGGAAACCAUGUUUAUGAGAACGUGUCAAGGAGAGCUCAAGCAUAGGAGGAUAACGGGUCAAGAUAAGGCAAGGUGA